GACGAACGCUGGCGGCGUGCUUAACACAUGCCAGUCGAGCGGAAAGGCCACUUCGGUGGUACUCGAGCGGCGAACGGGUGAGUAACACGUGAGUAAUCUGCCCCUGGCUUUGGGAUAGCCACCGGAAACGGUGAUUAAUACCGGAUAUGACACAUUCUCGCAUGAGUUUGUGUGGAAAGUUUUUCGGCCAGGGAUGUGCUCGCGGCCUAUCAGCUUGAUGGUGAGGUAAUGGCUCACCAUGGCUUCGACGGGUAGCCGGCCUGAGAGGGUGACCGGUCACACUGGGACUGAGACACGGCCCAGACUCCUACGGGAGGCAGCAGUGGGGAAUAUUGGACAAUGGGCGGAAGCCUGAUCCAGCAACGCCGCGUGAGGGAUGACGGCCUUCGGGUUGUAAACCUCUUUCAGUACCGACGAAGCGCAAGUGACGGUAGGUACAGAAGAAGCACCGGCCAACUACGUG
Molecule: ribosomal RNA, 463 nt
Filed under: uncultured bacterium
Lineage: Bacteria
Description: partial 16S ribosomal RNA
Rfam family: Bacterial small subunit ribosomal RNA
Source: RNAcentral